Molecule: ribosomal RNA, 254 nt
Filed under: uncultured bacterium
Lineage: Bacteria
Description: partial 16S ribosomal RNA
Rfam family: Bacterial small subunit ribosomal RNA
Source: RNAcentral
GACGGAGGGCGCAAGCGUUGUUCGGAAUUACUGGGCGUAAAGCGCGGGCAGGCGGCCUGCUAAGUCGUUUGUGAAAAUCCGGGGCUCAACCCCGUGAAAUGCGUACGAUACUGGCAGGCUGGAGACCGGUAGAGGCUAGCGGAAUUCCUGGUGUAGCGGUGGAAUGCGUAGAUAUCAGGAAGAACACCUGUGGCGAAGGCGGCUAGCUGGGCCGGUUCUGACGCUCAUCCGCGAAAGCGUGGGGAGCAAACAGG